AAUACUAACAUAAUAAUACUCUACUAAGUAUGGCGUAUCAGGAAUAAUGAACUCUUGCCAGGCUGAAGGAACAAAACACUUGUGGUUUCUCAAUGGCGGAGGUAUAUUAUUCCAAACCUUCGACGCGGCGUAGCUGAAACUACCACGAAAAGCUGCUGUGGCAUGGCGCGGCGUCAACAAUUGAAUCCCACAGUUACGGCGUUCGCGGAGCUUAAUACAAGAUAGCUUAUUGAAGAGAUAUGGGGGCGUUCUAUACUUCAGCACACCAAAGAGCAAACAGGCCAGAUGAAGUUUACGACGGUGUUGCAUUUUGAGGAUCAUAUGACUAUUCAGAAACGGAGUCACGUGGGCUCUCAACGGAAUAUUGAAACAGAAGCGAGCACAGGCAUUUUGAACACGUUGAAUGAGUCUCUUUGUUUUAGCAAGAAGUCUAGGCCCAAACACUACAUCCACAUAAUUUAAUUUUGAUAGGACAAGUGAUUCAACUAGUUGACAUCGCAGGUUUUCGCUUAAAUAUGGCCGAAUUUUAUAUAAAACCUUAAGCUUGUAAAAACAACUCCUAAUGGCUUCAGAGAUAUGCUUCUCAUAACGUAGUCCACAAUCCAUUAUGAGACCUAAAUUACGCGCCUCAUACACUCUCUCAACCGGUGUGUUCAUUAACAUAACAUCCGCUGAUAUACUGACACCAGCCAGUUGUUGCCUGCUGCCAAAAACAAGGUAUUUAGUUUUAUUUGGGUUAAGCAGCAGGCAGUUUUCUGUAGCCCAUGAUGCUAUAGUGGUGAGAUCAUGGUUUAAUUUUUCUAUAGCACUGUCAAUGUCGGCCGGCUUACAUGAUAUAUACACUUGUAUGUCGUCUGCAUAUAUGUGGUAUUUGCAAUGCGUGAUGUGGGACCUUAUAUCUGCGGAGUAUAAUAUGAACAGGAGCGGACCGAGCACCGAUCCCUGAGGAACUCCUCUUGUUAAUUCAGCCUUUUCAGAUAAAAGUGAAGAACCAUCACUGCAACACACUUUCACAAUUUGUGAUCGAUCACGCAAAUAACUUUCAAACCACUUCACAGUUUUUUGAUCAAAACCAUAAUAACUCAAUUUGGAUAGAAGCAAAUUUAUAUUCAGACAAUCAAAAGCCCUUGAAAAGUCGAGGAGGACUAAAAUAGUGCACAUACCUUUGUCUUGAGCAGCCAAAAUAUUAUCAGAGACAUCGAGUAAGGCAGUCACAGUGCUACGUCCCUUUCGAAAACCUGAUUGGACAUCCGGUAGAAUAUUGUUGCUUUCUAAGUAGGUGGUUAGCUGUGAGCAUACAACUUUUUCCAUUAUUUUAGAUAGACAAGGCAGUAUACUUAUAGGCCUAAGGUCUUUAAGCAUGGAUGGGUUCGAUACUUUAGGCAAGGGAUUCACGAGUGCUAACUUCCAGAUAUCUGGAAAGGUGGAUGUAAGAAUGGAGGUAUUUAUUAGGCUUGUAAUGAAAUCAAUUGUGUAUGGAAAAGUUAGAGUAAGCAUGUUUAGAUUUAUCCCGUCAAUACCCUCAGCAUUCGAUUUUAAACAUUUAAUUACUUUCAUUAUUUGAUAAGAAUUAACAGUAUCUAGGUGGAAAACAGAGUCACUGAACUUAUGAAAUUCAAAAUAGGUAAGCUGUGAUAUAGUGACACCUGAAGUUCCUGGUAGGUCUAGGAAGUGCUUGUUCAAGGUAUCGGGAUUAUUAAAUAUAUUAGGUAAUUCAUUAUUCUUUUUAGGCAACACGGUAUCUUUUAAGUUUUUCCAUAAAGUUUUGGGUUCUUUAAUAUUAUUAUUAAUAUUAUGCUUGAAAUAUGCUACCUUUUCAAAAUACAGAGCUUUAUUUACAAUAGACUUUAGGUCUUUGUAGUAAUUCUUUUUGACUUCGCUCUGGUUUUUGUGAUAAUCCGCUGCAGCACUGUCACGCAGCCUCAUCAUCAAUUUGACGGUGUCAGUAAUCCAAGGGUGUGAUUGAGCUUUAAUCAAGGAUGUCUUAAGAGGGGCAUGUAAAUCAAACAGAUUAAGAACAUGUUGAUUAAAGGCUGUUACCAUGUCAUUGACAUUUCCAAGGUUUGUUAUCAAGUCCCACCUCACGCUCCGCAAGUCCACAUCUAGAUCUUUGUCGCAGAUAUUUUUAAGAGGCCUAUAGGUAACGUGGUAAGGCUUUAGUUUCUCACGCUUGACAUUGAAAUUACAGACAACAAGGCAAUGACCAUACAGGGAACCCACAUGAUCAAUUGCUGUAGUAUUGGCCUGCAUGUCCGUACAGACAACAUCGAUCAGCGUUUGGCUGGUGUCAGUGAAAUGCGUAGGCUGAGACACUAAUUGUGUUAAACCAAAGCAAGUUAAAAAAUUAUUAAAUUGAGUAGUUUUUGUGUCGGUGCUAUUCAAUAAAUUUAUAUUAAAAUCACCUAGUAAUACUAAGUUGUCGUAACUACGCAUUGAACUAAUUGAGUCACUUACAGCAUCCAAAAACAAUUGAAGAUCCAUCCAAGGUGGACGGUAUGCCGUACCAAUUGCUAGCUUCCUUCCGUUGAGAGCAAAAGUGAUCCACAUCUGCUCCACCAGUUUAUGCAACGGGUCAACCGGAUGAGGCCAGGUCCGAGCCUUGAGAUGUCGCUUGAUAUAAAAUCCUACGCCUCCACCGCGGGAUCGGUCGCCCUGCGGCCUUGGGAUAUGCCGGAAACUGUAUCCCGGAAGUGUAGGUGCCCGCCCUUCUUCACCAGCCCUUAACCAUGAUUCAUUGAUCGCCAGCACAUCAACAUCUUGCCGAACAGCAGCCGCUAUAAAAUUGUCGUGAUUUGUGCCAAGAGAACCCGCAUUGUACAAACCAA
Molecule: long non-coding RNA, 2825 nt
Organism: Cydia amplana
Lineage: Eukaryota; Metazoa; Arthropoda; Insecta; Lepidoptera; Tortricidae
Exons: 2
Source: RefSeq, a predicted model, not a curated record